RNAcentral lists this ribosomal RNA (253 nucleotides) under uncultured bacterium. RNAcentral's name for it is "partial 16S ribosomal RNA". It matches the Rfam family "Bacterial small subunit ribosomal RNA", at positions 524 to 776 of the family's 1533-position model. The record is from RNAcentral.
UACGGAGGGUGCAAGCGUUAUCCGGAUUCACUGGGUUUAAAGGGUGCGUAGGUGGGCAGGUAAGUCAGUGGUGAAAUCUCCGGGCUUAACCCGGAAACUGCCAUUGAUACUAUCAGUCUUGAAUACCGUGGAGGUAAGCGGAAUAUGUCAUGUGGCGGUGAAAUGCUUAGAUAUGACAUAGAACACCAAUUGCGAAGGCAGCUUACUACCCGAAUAUUGACACUGAGGCACGAAAGCGUGGGGAUCAAACAGG